Molecule: non-coding RNA, 1288 nt
Organism: Microcebus murinus (gray mouse lemur)
Lineage: Eukaryota; Metazoa; Chordata; Mammalia; Primates; Cheirogaleidae
Source: RefSeq, a predicted model, not a curated record
UAUCAAUCUUUAUUUUUUUUGUAAUAAUAUAAUGUACAAAGGGUUUGAUAAAUUUUUCACCAAAUUUGAAAGUCAUGCUUGAGACAGCCUGAGUUAAAUAAAGACUACCCACUAUGGUCCUCCACUCUACCAGCUGAGCUAUCGAAGGCGGGGAUGUUAAUUUGGCAGAGAGUGACUUGGCGUAUGCCCAGGCCAUCUUGGGCAGUGGCAAAGAAGAUUACACUGGCAAAGACGUACUGAUUCUGGGAGGUUGAGAUGGGGGCAUAUUAUGUGAAAUAGUCAAAUUGAAACCAAAGAUGGUCACUAUGGUAGAGUGCUAUUUCAGAAUUCUCUGAUACACCCAAAUUAUCCUUAACCUGUUUCGGACAUUGACCAAAUGGUGAUUGAUGGAUGUAAGAAAUAUAUGCGAAAAACGUGCGGUGAUGUCUUAGACAAUCUUAAAGGAGACUGCUAUCAGGUUCUCAUAGAAGACUGUAUUCCAGUACUGAAGAGGUACGCCAAAGAAGGGAGAGAGUUUGAUUAUGUGAUUAAUGAUUUGACGGCUGUUCCAAUCUCCACGUCUCCAGAAGAAGAUUCCACAUGGGAGUUUCUCAGACUGAUUCUUGACCUCUCUAUGAAAGUAUUGAAGCAGGAUGGGAAAUAUUUCACACAGGGGAACUGUGUCAAUCUGACAGAAGCCCUGUCGCUCUAUGAAGAACAGCUCGGGCGCCUGUAUUGUCCUGUGGAAUUCUCGAAGGAGAUCGUUUGUGUCCCUUCAUACUGGAACUGUGGGUAUUUUACACAGUGUGGAAGAAAGCUGAGCCUUGAAGAUGAAUAUCCCCAAUCAUGUGCUGCAGAUAACCUUCCUGACCUCCAUUUGCUGUACAUGACAUUGAAAUGAGUCAGGCAAUUGAUUGUGAAUUCCUUAACGUUUUCUCUAAUAAUUAUUUUUAAUUUAAAAAAGCAAAUGGGAAAUGUAUAUUUUGAUGAGCUAGGGUGUUAUUUUUGUUGAAAGUCGGCUGAAGGACAGUUAAGACAACACAGCGAAGACUGCUAAAUGCACUGACCCCCUAGAAUGUGACUUUUGUUUUUAUUUCUGUGUGGGCUUUUUUUUUUUUUUUUUUUUUUGGUAGACCUUCAAUUUGGAUGUUUGGAGGAAUGAACAUCAUUGUUUUGUUCUGGAGGGAAGUUCUUGAUGGUGUUUCUUUCUCCCAAAUUGACUUAGAUAUUAAAAUUUGGUGCUUAUAAGAGUUAAAGAAAUGAAUAGUAAUGCUUCAAUUAAAAUCACAAAAGAGACAAAAAAAAAAAA